RNAcentral lists this ribosomal RNA (492 nucleotides) under uncultured bacterium. RNAcentral describes it as "partial 16S ribosomal RNA". It matches the Rfam family "Bacterial small subunit ribosomal RNA", at positions 29 to 507 of the family's 1533-position model. The record is from RNAcentral.
AGUGAACGCUGGCGGUAGGCCUAACACAUGCAAGUCGAACGGCAGCACAGUAAGAGCUUGCUCUUACGGGUGGCGAGUGGCGGACGGGUGAGGAAUACAUCGGAAUCUACUUUUUCGUGGGGGAUAACGUAGGGAAACUUACGCUAAUACCGCAUACGACCUACGGGUGGAAGCAGGGGAUCUUCGGACCUUGCGCGAUUGAAUGAGCCGAUGUCGUAUUAGCUAGUUGGCGGGGUAAAGGCCCACCAAGGCGACGAUCCGUAGCUGGUCUGAGAGGAUGAUGAGCCACACUGGAACUGAGACACGGCCCAGAGUCCUACGGGAGGCCGCAGUGGGGAAUAUUGGAAAAUGGGCGGAAUCCUGAUCCAGCCAUACCGGGUGGGUGAAGAAGGCCUUCGGGUUGGAAAGCCCUUUUGUUGGGAAAGAACAGCAGCAGGUUAAGACCCCGCUGUUCUGACGGUACCCAAAGAAUAAGCACCGGCUAACUUCGUG